AGUAGUGUGAGUGUGAAGGACUGGAUUCUUGUUGCUUUCUCCUGAUGCCCAUUCCAGGGUUUCCCCAGGCAACUAGGAAGACCAUCCAUGGUGAGGCCUGCAAUCUAGGCUUCUUGCUGAUCAGUCAGCAAUGGAAACCUGUUGGUCAGUGAGGAAACCAAGGCACAGAGCGGGUGAGUAACUUGGCCAAGUUACUUUUUAUGGGUUAAUAAGUGCAGGAGCCAGGAUACAAACCCCGACAGCCUUUUCCAGAAGCUGCGCUUUGAACUACUAGGCUACAGGGCUGUCUCCUAAAAGUCAAAGUAGAUCAGAUACUGUAGCUGAAUCCCGUUCCCCUUCUCCCUCCUGUAGUAGCUUACAACGCAUGACAGCUUCUUUGACUUGACGAAAGCCACCAUCAGGGCCCCUGCCAUCGACGUAGUACAUGAAUCGGAGCUCAGGUGGGUAGGCAGCUCUGCUGAGGCCCGACAGCAGGGGGAUGGUGCAGCCCUCGAAGACAAGGGAUGCUGAGGAUUUGUGAUCAUAUAUCAAAGUUCAAAAAAGAAGUAGAACUUAAACCAUAGCAGCAAAGGAGGCAGAGCAAAGGGUUGGAAUGGGUACAGGAACCAGAGAAGACAUCUGAAAAAGCAACACAGCUAAAUGUGAAGCCACCAAAACGGCACUGGACGUUGACUAUGAGUAUGUAUAUGAGUUUCUUUUCUUUC
RNAcentral lists this long non-coding RNA (704 nucleotides) under Homo sapiens (human). RNAcentral's name for it is "long non-coding RNA NONHSAT160876.1". The record is from RNAcentral. Lineage: Eukaryota; Metazoa; Chordata; Mammalia; Primates; Hominidae.